Molecule: long non-coding RNA, 1178 nt
Filed under: Capsella grandiflora
Lineage: Eukaryota; Viridiplantae; Streptophyta; Magnoliopsida; Brassicales; Brassicaceae
Description: long non-coding RNA (CGRA_LNC000046)
Source: RNAcentral
AUAACUGAGGAAUUACACAGCAAUUAACAAAGCAAAAAUGUAAAGAAGCAACUAAGAAGCCAAACAAGCAUACAAAGCAAGCAAGUAAACAGCAAAUUAAGACACAUAUAAUAUAACUAAGGAAGAAUGAACCUAAAGAAGCAAGCAAAGAAACAAAGAAUCACAGAAGCAAGCAAAGAAACAACGAAUCACAAAAUCAAGCAAAGAAACAACGAAUCAGAGAAGCAAGCAAAGAACAAUGAAUCAGAGAAGCAAGCAAGCAAAGAAACAAAGAAUCACAGAAGCAAGCAAGCAAGUAAAGAAACAACGAAUCACAAAAUCAAGCAAAGAAACAACGAAUCAUAAAAUCAAGCAAAGAAACAACGAAUCACAAUAUCAAGCAAAGAAAUAACGAAUCAGAGAAGCAAGCAAGCAAAGAAACAACGAAUCAUAGAAGCAAGCAAUCAAAAAAAAAAAACGAAUCACAGAAGUAAGUAACAAGCAUACAAGGAAUCAAAUAAGAAAGCAAAAAAAAAAAAAAAGUAAACAAGAAAUUAAAAGGCAUAGAAGUAAGGAAGCAAGCAAAAAAAACAACCAAAACAACGAAUCACAGAAGCAAGUAAGAGUCAAAACCAAGGAACCGUAGCCAAGGAAACUAGCAAUUAAGCAAAAAUUUAAACAAAGACUGAAAAAAAGAAGAAGACGAAAGAUCGUACCUUUAACAUUCGAUUGCUAAAGCCAAAACCCUAAAGAUUAAGUGAGAAAGAAGUAGUAGGAUCAUACCUUUUUGUUUCAUUGUGAUUGAAACUGUAGCAAUUCAAGUUGAAUUCCCAAGAAAUCCCUAAAAAAUCAACACCCAAAUCCCUAAAAAAUUUCCCGAAAAAAUCACAAAAUAAAAAAAAACUGAAGAAUCGUAUUAUGUAUAAGAGAAUUUAUACCUUAGAAUAUGAGAAUUUAGACAUAAUCUGAUCAUAAUCAGACUGAAUCGAAGAAGAAAAACAAAGAGAUGGAGAAGAAAGAGAUUGUAAAUCGCCAACGGAGGAGAGCUUUUGGGAAUCGGCGAGCGUUCUUAAAUUUUAUUUCCGUUAUCUCGACAUUCAUAUGUACAUAUUAAAAAAUGGAAAUUUAAAAUUACAAAUUCGAAAAGAGAAAAGAAAAGGCCCAAUAACAAAAAAAAAGCCCAAUAAUGUCCGUAAUUA